ACUAGAUAUGCGGUAUUCUUGUAUAUAUAUAAGCCGCCAAGAAGUGACGGCAACAAUGUAAUGUGUAAUUGACAGUUGGGUUGAGCACGUGAGAUGUUCAUUGUGAAUUAUAGCGUUUGUUAUAGCGCGAAUGUGGAAAUUAAGUGUAUUGCAAAGUUGUAUUCAGAAAUAAUAAACCAGU
Long non-coding RNA from Limulus polyphemus (Atlantic horseshoe crab), 181 nucleotides. RefSeq lists it as uncharacterized. The record is from RefSeq and is a predicted model, not a curated record. Lineage: Eukaryota; Metazoa; Arthropoda; Merostomata; Xiphosura; Limulidae. The transcript is spliced from 3 exons.